AACUUGAGUGCAGAAGAGGACAGUGGAACUCCAUGUGUAGCGGUGAAAUGCGUAGAUAUAUGGAAGAACACCAGUGGCGAAGGCGGCUGUCUGGUCUGUAACUGACGCUGAGGCUCGAAAAGCAUGGGUAGCGAACAGGAUUAGAUACCCUGGUAGUCCAUGCCGUAAACGAUGAAUGCUAGGUGUUGGAGGGUUUCCGCCCUUUCAGUGCCGCAGCUAACGCAUUAAGCAUUCCGCCUGGGGAGUACGACCGCAAGGUUGAAACUCAAAGGAAUUGACGGGGGCCCGCACAAGCGGUGGAGCAUGUGGUUUAAUUCGAAGCAACGCGAAGAACCUUACCAGGUCUUGACAUCUUUUGAUCACCUGAGAGAUCAGGUUUCCCCUUCGGGGGCAAAAUGACAGGUGGUGCAUGGUUGUCGUCAGCUCGUGUCGUGAGAUGUUGGGUUAAGUCCCGCAACGAGCGCAACCCUUAUGACUAGUUGCCAGCAUUUAGUUGGGCACUCUAGUAAGACUGCCGGUGACAAACCGGAGGAAGGUGGGGAUGACGUCAAAUCAUCAUGCCCCUUAUGACCUGGGCUACACACGUGCUACAAUGGAUGGUACAACGAGUUGCGAGACCGCGAGGUCAAGCUAAUCUCUUAAAGCCAUUCUCAGUUCGGACUGUAGGCUGCAACUCGCCUACACGAAGUCGGAAUCGCUAGUAAUCGCGGAUCAGCACGCCGCGGUGAAUACGUUCCCGGGCCUUGUACACACCGCCCGUCACACCAUGAGAGUUUGUAACACCCGAAGCCGGUGGCGUAACCCUUUUAGGGAGCGAGCCGUCUAAGGUGGGACAAAUGAUUAGGGUGAA
RNAcentral lists this ribosomal RNA (850 nucleotides) under Lacticaseibacillus casei. RNAcentral's name for it is "bacterial SSU rRNA". It matches the Rfam family "Bacterial small subunit ribosomal RNA", at positions 639 to 1484 of the family's 1533-position model. Lineage: Bacteria; Bacillati; Bacillota; Bacilli; Lactobacillales; Lactobacillaceae. The record is from RNAcentral.